RNAcentral lists this ribosomal RNA (498 nucleotides) under uncultured bacterium. RNAcentral's name for it is "partial 16S ribosomal RNA". It matches the Rfam family "Bacterial small subunit ribosomal RNA", at positions 30 to 523 of the family's 1533-position model. The record is from RNAcentral.
AUUGAACGCUGGCGGCAUGCCUUACACAUGCAAGUCGAACGGUAACAGGUCUUCGGAUGCUGACGAGUGGCGAACGGGUGAGUAAUACAUCGGAACGUGCCCAGUCGUGGGGGAUAACGAAGCGAAAGCUUUGCUAAUACCGCAUACGAUCUACGGAUGAAAGCGGGGGAUCGCAAGACCUCGCGCGAUUGGAGCGGCCGAUGGCAGAUUAGGUAGUUGGUGGGGUAAAGGCGUACCAAGCCUACGAUCUGUAGCUGGUCAGAGAGGACGACCAGCCACACUGGGACUGAGCCACGGCCCAGACUCCUACGGGAGGCAGCAGUGGGGAAUUUUGGACAAUGGGCGCAAGCCUGAUUCAGCAAUGCCGCGUGCAGGAUGAAGGCCUUCGGGUUGUAAACUGCUUUUGUACGGAACGAAAAGCUCUGGGUUAAUACCCUGGGGUCAUGACGGUACCGUAAGAAUAAGCACCGGCUAACUACGUGCCAGCAGCCGCCGUAA